RNAcentral lists this ribosomal RNA (482 nucleotides) under uncultured bacterium. Its description in RNAcentral is "partial 16S ribosomal RNA". It matches the Rfam family "Bacterial small subunit ribosomal RNA", at positions 28 to 523 of the family's 1533-position model. The record is from RNAcentral.
GACGAACGCUGGCGGCGUGCUUAACACAUGCAAGUCGAACGAUGAAACCUAGCUUGCUAGGUCGAUUAGUGGCGAACGGGUGAGUAACACGUGACUAACCUGCCUCUUUCUCUGGGAUAACGCUCCGAAAGGAGUGUUAAUACCGGAUACCCACACCGAGGCACAUGCCUUGGUGUGGAAAGUUUUUCGGAAAGGGAUGGAGUCGCGGCCUAUCAGCUUGUUGGUGAGGUAACGGCUCACCAAGGCGACGACGGGUAGCCGGCCUGAGAGGGCGACCGGCCACACUGGGACUGAGACACGGCCCAGACUCCUACGGGAGGCAGCAGUGGGGAAUAUUGCACAAUGGGCGCAAGCCUGAUGCAGCGACGCCGCGUGAGGGAUGAAGGUCUUCGGAUUGUAAACCUCUUUCAGUAGGGACGAAGCGAAAGUGACGGUACCUAAAGAAGAAGCACCGGCUAACUACGUGCCAGCAGCCGCAGUAA